Molecule: transfer RNA, 75 nt
Filed under: Nitrososphaerota archaeon
Lineage: Archaea; Thermoproteati; Nitrososphaerota
Description: tRNA-Val
Rfam family: tRNA
About the family: Transfer RNA (tRNA) molecules are approximately 80 nucleotides in length. Their secondary structure includes four short double-helical elements and three loops (D, anti-codon, and T loops). Further hydrogen bonds mediate the characteristic L-shaped molecular structure. tRNAs have two regions of fundamental functional importance: the anti-codon, which is responsible for specific mRNA codon recognition, and the 3' end, to which the tRNAs corresponding amino acid is attached (by aminoacyl-tRNA synthetases). tRNAs cope with the degeneracy of the genetic code in two manners: having more than one tRNA (with a specific anti-codon) for a particular amino acid; and 'wobble' base-pairing, i.e. permitting non-standard base-pairing at the 3rd anti-codon position.
Source: RNAcentral
GGGCCGGUGGUCUAGUUCGGUUAGGAUGUCUCCUUUACACGGAGAUGGUCGACGGUCCAAAUCCGUCCCGGCCCA